This is a long non-coding RNA of Phyllostomus discolor (pale spear-nosed bat), 1879 nucleotides long. RefSeq lists it as uncharacterized. The transcript has 3 exons. NCBI's taxonomy places the organism in Eukaryota, Metazoa, Chordata, Mammalia, Chiroptera, Phyllostomidae. The record is from RefSeq and is a predicted model, not a curated record.
AAUCCACUUAACUACACCAACCAGGGCUAGACAUUCUUUAUAUAUUUUGAAAAUUAACUUCAUCAGACUAUCAUUGGCUAAUGUCCCAUACAGUAGGUUCCCUUUUCAUUUUGUUGGUUUCUUUAGCAGUGCAGAAGCUUUUUAGUUUGAUGUAGUUCCAUUUGUUUAUUUUUUCCUAUUUCACCUUGCCCUAGAUUUUUUGGCAAAAUUAUCACUACAAGAGAUGUCUGAGCUUUUACUGCUAGUUUUCUGCUAGGAUUUUCAUGGUUUUGAGACUUGCAUUUAAGUGUUUUAUCUACUUUUGAGUUUAUUCUUGUGUGGAGUGAUCUGGUAGUCUAGUAUCAUUCUUUUGCACGUACCUGUCCAGUUUUCCCAACAUCAUUUAUUGAAGAGAACUUUAUUCCAUUUUAUGUUCUUUCCCCUGUAGUUUCCUUUACAAAUCUUAUAUUCUUAAUUUCUGUAUGACCCUUAGAAAUGUUGUGUCAUUUCCCUCCAAUCAUCUUAGAUCUUUAUUAAAACUGAGUGUUCCAAAAUACUUUUAUCCCCUUUAUUCUUCUCAUCCAGAAACAGUCACUUAUGCUAGACACUUGUGAUAGUGUCAGUCCCACCUGUGCCCUGCCCUCAGCCUCGCACUCUGGCCAGGAAGACAUACAAACUCAGGAAAGCACUACAGGUGUCAGGGUUCACAAUACGGGAGCUCGUUCUUCCCCGAGGGCUCAUCAGAGCUAAAUGCUUGUCAGAAAGGCAAGUACGUAAGAAAAUGCCAGAUGAAGAACAAAUGGAACGUUAGCAGGUUCCAGGAUCCCCAUGGUUUGCUGUGAUCAGAUCAAAUAGUGUGGGGUGGGACGCAGGGAGAGAAGGAACUGCAAAGGGGCCUCUGGAGGAACUUUUGAAAGAUCUCCUUCAAUGUUGUGGAUAGUACAAAGUAAAGCUAGCAAAGUGGUGACUUUGGGAUACCACUUAAUACUCCAGGCUACAGACUUAAAAGAAUUCCAGCUGCAGUACAGUCAGAGGAGAGGGGAAAGGAAAACAGGAUAAAUGUCCAGAAGUUAGUAAUGCUGUGCUGCCAUUUCAUCUGGUAUUUUUCUAAAUUGGGGGGGUGGGGGGGGGUGUUUCUUUCUAGCUCUUUUUACGGAAGACCAUUUUCUGCAUCGUUAAAUAUUUGAGACCAUGAAAUAAAAAAUUCUAGCUGCAGUGCAGCCAGAGGAGAGAAGUUAGAGCAGGCAAGAUUGGGGUUUGCAUGAAGAAAGUUAAGACGGAUGUAAAGAUUGAGUAGCAGGUCCAACCCUGCUGGAAGAGUAAUUCUCUGGCCCAUAGAGGGCUCUGGCCAAUGAAAUCUGAGUGGGAGAGAGGUGUCAUUUUGGAGUAGAAUCUUUAUGAGCCAUUGAGUGUUUUUGCCAAGUCACCAUGUCUCCAAUACCGGGAGGCCAGCCUGCCAGAGCUCACCAUGCACUGCCAUGGAAACAAGUAAGAAACAAACCCUUACUGCCUUCACCUGCCCUGUGGAGACAACGCUUCCCCUGGAAGAGCACUGCCCUGUGAGUGUCUUUCACUUGCCGACUGGUCUUCCUGCCUGGAGAAGGGCACCGCUGAUACAAGUGACCGGAAAGGGCUUGUGUACAUUUCCACGGGGACAGGGCCACUACCAAGAGUUGGCACAGGGAAGAGAUGGACUCUGGAGUCAGAAUCCUGGCUUUCCUACUUGUUACCUGUGACCUGUGUUUCCAUCCUUCACUGAAGUAGGAAUGAUCCCCACCUCAGUGGGUUAAUGCCAAAUGAGAAAAUAGUUGUAAAGAGCCUGGGACGGUGCCACCCAGGCCAUGCCUCAGACAGAACACAUUGAAGAGCAUCUCCACUUCACCCUCAGCAAAGUGGCUUU